GAUGAACGCUGGCGGCGUGCCUAAUACAUGCAAGUCGAGCGGACGGACGAGAAGCUUGCUUCUCUGAUGUUAGCGGCGGACGGGUGAGUAACACGUGGAUAACCUACCUAUAAGACUGGGAUAACUUCGGGAAACCGGAGCUAAUACCGGAUGAUCUUUUGAACCGCAUGGUUCAAAAGUGAAAGACGGUCUUGCUGUCACUUAUAGAUGGAUCCGCGCUGCAUUGGCUAGUUGGUAAGGUAAUGGCUUACCAAGGCAACGAUGCAUAGCCGACCUGAGAGAGUGAUCGCCGACACUGGAGCUGAGACACGGUCCAGACUCCUACGGGAGGCAGCAGUCGGCAAUCUUCCGCAGUGGGCGAAAGCCUGGCGGAGCAGCCCCGAGUGAGAGACGGAGGUCUUCGGAUCGUAAAACUCUGUUAUUGGGGAAGAACAGAUGUGUACUUAACUGUGCACAUCUUGACGGUACCUGAUCAGAAAGCCACGGCUAACUACGUG
This 497-nucleotide ribosomal RNA is filed under the name uncultured bacterium. RNAcentral's name for it is "partial 16S ribosomal RNA". It matches the Rfam family "Bacterial small subunit ribosomal RNA", at positions 28 to 507 of the family's 1533-position model. The record is from RNAcentral.